AAUCCAUAGGUUAAUGAGGCGAACCGGGGGAACUGAAACAUCUAAGUACCCCGAGGAAAAGAAAUCAACCGAGAUUCCCCCAGUAGCGGCGAGCGAACGGGGAGGAGCCCAGAGCCUGAAUCAGCAUGUGUGUUAGUGGAAGCGUCUGGAAAGGCGCGCGAUACAGGGUGACAGCCCCGUACACAAAAGCGCAUGUGCUGUGAGCUCGAUGAGUAGGGCGGGACACGUGGUAUCCUGUCUGAAUAUGGGGGGACCAUCCUCCAAGGCUAAAUACUCCUGACUGACCGAUAGUGAACCAGUACCGUGAGGGAAAGGCGAAAAGAACCCCGGCGAGGGGAGUGAAAAAGAACCUGAAACCGUGUACGUACAAGCAGUGGGAGCACCCUUCGGGGUGUGACUGCGUACCUUUUGUAUAAUGGGUCAGCGACUUAUAUUCUGUAGCAAGGUUAACCGAAUAGGGGAGCCGGAGGGAAACCGAGUCUUAAUUGGGCGUUAAGUUGCAGGGUAUAGACCCGAAACCCGGUGAUCUAGCCAUGGGCAGGUUGAAGGUUGGGUAACACUAACUGGAGGACCGAACCGACUAAUGUUGAAAAAUUAGCGGAUGACCUGUGGCUGGGGGUGAAAGGCCAAUCAAACCGGGAGAUAGCUGGUUCUCCCCGAAAGCUAUUUAGGUAGCGCCUCGUGAAUUCAUCUCCGGGGGUAGAGCACUGUUUCGGCUAGGGGGCCAUCCCGGCUUACCAACCCGAUGCAAACUGCGAAUACCGGAGAAUGUUAUCACGGGAGACACACGGCGGGUGCUAACGUCCGUCGUGAAGAGGGAAACAACCCAGACCGCCAGCUAAGGUCCCAAAGUCAUGGUUAAGUGGGAAACGAUGUGGGAAGGCCCAGACAGCCAGGAUGUUGGCUUAGAAGCAGCCAUCAUUUAAAGAAAGCGUAAUAGCUCACUGGUCGAGUCGGCCUGCGCGGAAGAUGUAACGGGGCUAAACCAUGCACCGAAGCUGCGGCAGCGAACGUAUCACCCAAGACAACUUUGCGGAGUUGACGAUUGACGGAGCGAAGCGACGUCAAAGCGUUCAUUAAAGUCGAGUUGGCUUAGGGAUACGUUCGUUGGGUAGGGGAGCGUUCUGUAAGCCUGUGAAGGUGUGCUGUGAGGCAUGCUGGAGGUAUCAGAAGUGCGAAUGCUGACAUAAGUAACGAUAAAGCGGGUGAAAAGCCCGCUCGCCGGAAGACCAAGGGUUCCUGUCCAACGUUAAUCGGGGCAGGGUGAGUCGACCCCUAAGGCGAGGCCGAAAGGCGUAGUCGAUGGGAAACGGGUUAAUAUUCCCGUACUUGGUGUUACUGCGAAGGGGGGACGGAGAAGGCUAUGUUGGCCGGGCGACGGUU
Molecule: ribosomal RNA, 1383 nt
Filed under: Salmonella enterica subsp. enterica serovar Indiana
Lineage: Bacteria; Pseudomonadati; Pseudomonadota; Gammaproteobacteria; Enterobacterales; Enterobacteriaceae
Description: partial 23S ribosomal RNA
Rfam family: Bacterial large subunit ribosomal RNA
Source: RNAcentral